Molecule: ribosomal RNA, 429 nt
Filed under: Gemmatimonadota bacterium
Lineage: Bacteria; Pseudomonadati; Gemmatimonadota
Description: Gemmatimonadetes bacterium partial 16S ribosomal RNA
Rfam family: Bacterial small subunit ribosomal RNA
Source: RNAcentral
UAGGGAAUCUUCGGCAAUGGACGAAAGUCUGACCGAGCAACGCCGCGUGAGUGAAGAAGGUUUUCGGAUCGUAAAACUCUGUUGUUAGAGAAGAACAAGGACGUUAGUAACUGAACGUCCCCUGACGGUAUCUAACCAGAAAGCCACGGCUAACUACGUGCCAGCAGCCGCGGUAUUACGUAGGUGGCAUGCGUUGUCCGGAUUUAUUGGGCGUAAAGCGAGCGCAGGCGGUUUCUUAAGUCUGAUGUGAAAGCCCCCGGCUCAACCGGGGAGGGUCAUUGGAAACUGGGAGACUUGAGUGCAGAAGAGGAGAGUGGAAUUCCAUGUGUAGCGGUGAAAUGCGUAGAUAUAUGGAGGAACACCAGUGGCGAAGGCGGCUCUCUGGUCUGUAACUGACGCUGAGGCUCGAAAGCGUGGGGAGCAAACAGG